Molecule: ribosomal RNA, 497 nt
Filed under: uncultured bacterium
Lineage: Bacteria
Description: partial 16S ribosomal RNA
Rfam family: Bacterial small subunit ribosomal RNA
Source: RNAcentral
UCUGCCCGCUGGCGGCGUGCCUAAUACAUGCAAGUCGAGCGAACGGACGAGAAGCUUGCUUCUCUGAUGUUAGCGGCGGACGGGUGAGUAACACGUGGAUAACCUACCUAUAAGACUGGGAUAACUUCGGGAAACCGUAGCUAAUACCGGAUAAUAUUUUGAACCGCAUGGUUCAAAAGUGAAAGACGGUCUUGCUGUCACUUAUAGAUGGAUCCGCGCUGCAUUAGCUAGUUGGUAAGGUAACGGCUUACCAAGGCAACGAUGCAUAGCCGACCUGAGAGGGUGAUCGGCCACACUGGAACUGAGACACGGUCCAGACUCCUACGGGAGGCAGCAGUAGGGAAUCUUCCGCAAUGGGCGAAAGCCUGACGGAGCAACGCCGCGUGAGUGAUGAAGGUCUUCGGAUCGUAAAACUCUGUUAUUAGGGAAGAACAUAUGUGUAAGUAACUGUGCACAUCUUGACGGUACCUAAUCAGAAAGCCACAGCUAACUACGUG